This 941-nucleotide ribosomal RNA is filed under the name Cedecea neteri. Its description in RNAcentral is "bacterial SSU rRNA". It matches the Rfam family "Bacterial small subunit ribosomal RNA", at positions 38 to 971 of the family's 1533-position model. Lineage: Bacteria; Pseudomonadati; Pseudomonadota; Gammaproteobacteria; Enterobacterales; Enterobacteriaceae. The record is from RNAcentral.
GGCUGGGGCGGCUACCAUGCAGUCGAGCGGUAGCACGGGGAGCUUGCUCCUGGGUGACGAGCGGCGGACGGGUGAGUAAUGUCUGGGGAUCUGCCUGAUGGAGGGGGAUAACUACUGGAAACGGUAGCUAAUACCGCAUAACGUCGCAAGACCAAAGAGGGGGACCUUCGGGCCUCUUGCCAUCAGAUGAACCCAGAUGGGAUUAGCUAGUAGGUGGGGUAAUGGCUCACCUAGGCGACGAUCCCUAGCUGGUCUGAGAGGAUGACCAGCCACACUGGAACUGAGACACGGUCCAGACUCCUACGGGAGGCAGCAGUGGGGAAUAUUGCACAAUGGGCGCAAGCCUGAUGCAGCCAUGCCGCGUGUAUGAAGAAGGCCUUCGGGUUGUAAAGUACUUUCAGCGAGGAGGAAGGCAUUAAGGUUAAUAACCUUGGUGAUUGACGUUACUCGCAGAAGAAGCACCGGCUAACUCCGUGCCAGCAGCCGCGGUAAUACGGAGGGUGCAAGCGUUAAUCGGAAUUACUGGGCGUAAAGCGCACGCAGGCGGUUUGUUAAGUCGGAUGUGAAAUCCCCGGGCUCAACCUGGGAACUGCAUUCGAAACUGGCAAGCUUGAGUCUUGUAGAGGGGGGUAGAAUUCCAGGUGUAGCGGUGAAAUGCGUAGAGAUCUGGAGGAAUACCGGUGGCGAAGGCGGCCCCCUGGACAAAGACUGACGCUCAGGUGCGAAAGCGUGGGGAGCAAACAGGAUUAGAUACCCUGGUAGUCCACGCCGUAAACGAUGUCGACUUGGAGGUUGUGCCCUUGAGGCGUGGCUUCCGGAGCUAACGCGUUAAGUCGACCGCCUGGGGAGUACGGCCGCAAGGUUAAAACUCAAAUGAAUUGACGGGGGCCCGCACAAGCGGUGGAGCAUGUGGUUUAAUUUCGAUGCAACGCGAAGAACCC